RNAcentral lists this ribosomal RNA (755 nucleotides) under uncultured bacterium. Its description in RNAcentral is "bacterial SSU rRNA". It matches the Rfam family "Bacterial small subunit ribosomal RNA", at positions 1 to 802 of the family's 1533-position model. The record is from RNAcentral.
CCCUUAGAGUUUGAUCAUGGCUCAGAGCGAACGCUGGCGGCAGGCUUAACACAUGCAAGUCGAGCGGGCAUAGCAAUAUGUCAGCGGCAGACGGGUGAGUAACGCGUGGGAACGUACCUUUUGGUUCGGAACAACACAGGGAAACUUGUGCUAAUACCGGAUAAGCCCUUACGGGGAAAGAUUUAUCGCCGAAAGAUCGGCCCGCGUCUGAUUAGCUAGUUGGUGAGGUAAUGGCUCACCAAGGCGACGAUCAGUAGCUGGUCUGAGAGGAUGAUCAGCCACAUUGGGACUGAGACACGGCCCAAACUCCUACGGGAGGCAGCAGUGGGGAAUAUUGGACAAUGGGCGCAAGCCUGAUCCAGCCAUGCCGCGUGAGUGAUGAAGGCCCUAGGGUUGUAAAGCUCUUUUGUGCGGGAAGAUAAUGACGGUACCGCAAGAAUAAGCCCCGGCUAACUUCGUGCCAGCAGCCGCGGUAAUACGAAGGGGGCUAGCGUUGCUCGGAAUCACUGGGCGUAAAGGGUGCGUAGGCGGGUCUUUAAGUCAGGGGUGAAAUCCUGGAGCUCAACUCCAGGACUGCCUUUGAUACUGAAGAUCUUGAGUUCGGGAGAGGUGAGUGGAACUGCGAGUGUAGAGGUGAAAUUCGUAGAUAUUCGCAAGAACACCAGUGGCGAAGGCGGCUCACUGGCCCGAUACUGACGCUGAGGCACGAAAGCGUGGGGAGCAAACAGGAUUAGAUACCCUGGUAGUCCACGCCG